RNAcentral lists this long non-coding RNA (6511 nucleotides) under Homo sapiens (human). RNAcentral's name for it is "HSALNT0280519". Lineage: Eukaryota; Metazoa; Chordata; Mammalia; Primates; Hominidae. The record is from RNAcentral.
CAGCACACAAGAACUCCAAACGCCUGAACCGUAGCUGCCAGGGGUUCCUCCAGAACCUCCUCCCCCAGGAGCUUGCUAAAAGUGCCAGAAAUCUGGCCACUAGGCCAAGGAAUGCCCACAGCCCAGGAUUCCUCCUAAGCCGUGUCCCAUCUGUGCAGGACCCCACUGAAAACUGGACUGUUCAACUCACCUGGCAGCCACUUCCAGAGCUCCUGGAACUCUAGCCCAAGGCUCUCUGACUCUUUCCCAGAUCUUCUCGGCUUAGCAGCUGAAGACUGACACUGCCGGAUCGCCUCAGAAGCCUGCAGGACCAUCACAGACGCUCUAGGUAACUCUCACAGUAGAAGAGUUGCAGGGUGUUUAAGUUUGAAGAUACUGCCUGAUCCAUCGUUUCACAGAGAAAGAAGCUGAGGUUCAGAGGAGGUAAGUGACCUGCCUGACCAUACACAGCUCUAGUUUUAGAGCCCGGACUAGAGCCAUCUGGUGCCCUUUACAUCUAACUUCCUUAGAGAUGCAUUUACCAUGAAGCCACUAAAGCUUAAACUUCAGGGCCCCUCAAUUGCAGAGGCCUCUUCCAUGCCCCUUGCAGAACAUGAGCAAUGUGUUGCCAUGGCCAUAUAGGUUUUGUAAAAUCUGCAAAAGAAAGAUAUUUUAAACAGGAUCAGUUAAGAACACUCUCUUCCCAUUCUGACUUCCCCAUCACACUUCCCCCUCAUUUAAAGGAGCACUGGAGUGGCCAAGGAUAUUGAAUGUGUAUAACUUCAUAUUAUUUUUCCAAAAGAAGCCUCUACAAAACCUGGAUCCACCUCACCUGCAUUUAUAAUGUUAAUAAUACAUGUUAUUGAUUAUUCCAUGACCAUCCAUGAACCUGCUACUUAACGCAGGAAUUUAAACAUAACAAAAACUUACUUUAACUCUGAGUUCUGCCCCUCUCCCAUCCUCCCUCUCCCUCAGAGAUAGCCACUAUACUAAUUUUGUGUUUAUUGUCCCGUUGUCUUUUUGUUUUGUUUUGACACGUCAUUCGCUUUAAUAUAAAUACAUGUUUUGACUUGCACUGAACUUUGUGAAAGAAUAUUGUACUUGGUCUUCACUCAACAUAUUGUUGCAAGUAGUUGUGAUUCAAUCAUUUUCACUGCUGUUUAAUAUUCCAUUGUGUGAAUGUAUCAUAAUUAGUUUACUCAUUCUCCUGUCAAUGGGCAUUUGGGUUGUUUCAAAAAUUUUUGCUAUUUUGAAAGGUGCUGGUACAAAGAUUUUUGUAUAUAUUUUUGAAUAACCAUGUGCAAGAGUUUCCUUUGGGUAAAUACCUUGGAGUAGAAUUGCUGUUUCACAGAGUUUAAACAUGUUCACCUUUAUGAUAUAAUGUUAUGUUGUUUUCCAAAUCAUUUGGAACAAUAUACAAUGUAUGAGUGAUACAUUACAUAAGAGACCUAUUGUUUCAUCUCCUUUUCAAUACUUGAUAUUGUCAGGCUUCCUAUUUUCCCAAUUGUGUGGGUGUAGAAUGGUAUCUUUUUGCAGUCUGGCUUUCGAUUUCUUUAAUUACUAGUUAAGUUGUGCAUCUCUUCAUGUCAUUUGCAAUUCUUACAACAAUCUUGUAAGUUAGGGAUUAUCAUCACAAUGUGAUAGAUAUAGAAAAUAUGACACAGAGAGGUUAAGUAACAUAUCCAAGGUUACCCAGCUAGUAAGUGGUAGACCAAGGAUUCAUACUCAGUGUAAGCAAAGUUCUCACACCAAUUCUGUUAUAUUAACCACCUUAUUUCUUUGCUACAUAUGGUAUGGAAUAAAGAAUCUUGGAGAAGUUGCUGUUCCAGGUCUUGCAAGAUUGAAAACCUAAUCAUUGGUAAGGCUUUCUUUCCACAAGAUUGAAUUAGUAGCCAUUAAUCCACCGAGGCUAAUGUCUGUGCCCUUUGGGUAUUUGAAUUUAUCAAAACAAGUCUCUGCAGAAGUGAAAUGACCUAAUCGAUGUAGUUCUCUGGGUUUGUGAAGUGGGAACAUUAUUCUGUUUGCUUCAUGAUGAAUUAUUGAACUAAUACUUAAAUCAUUCCAUAAGUACAGAGUGAGGCUGAGCAACCAGGAGACACAGAGCUAAGAAAAAGUUGGCUUUUAAUAUCAUUCUCUGAACCAUUAAUCUGUCAGGAAAGAGGAAAAGAUGUCAUAUUUUAUUACAAAGAUGCCUAGAAUAUGCAAUUAAUCUAAUUACAACAGUUAUUAUUAUUUUUUAAAAAAUCAGUGCUUCCUGUGCCCUGGGCUCCAUAAUCCCUCCAGCCCAUGAAGUGACUUAACUGGGGAGAGUGGUGUUUCUAUCCUGGGCUGUUCCCAAGAAGCCACUGUCCAAUCAAGGUGUCUGUGAGACACCUUGAAAGAAAGGGAGCUGUGUGGGACAACCAAUUUUUAUUUGUCUAUCUCUCUGCUCUGCCUCAGGGACAUAGGAACAGAGUAAACAAAUGCUAUAAAUUCCUGCCCUAGGCACUGAUUUUUGAAGGAAUUGAAAAGACAAACAACAACUGUAACCCUGUAGUUUUGGAUGCAAAACUGUCCUAGCUUUAAGGUGUCUUGCAUAUCCUCGGUCCAGAUGCUUUCAAUAACUAGCCAAGAGAUAAAGAAUGAGUUCCUUUGUGGGAAGUUUGAAAAUAAAUAUGUCUGCAUCUUCACUUUGUAAUCUCUGGAAAAGGAUGCUCAUGGGUAUUUAAAGAAGCUGGCUCUGGGCAGCUGAAAAGGCAGGGAGAAAAGCCCACUUCAUUUUUUUAAAAAUAGCUUUAAUGAUAUAUAAUUCAUAUGCUAUAAAAUUUACCUUUUAGAAAUAGACCUGUGACUUUUAGUAUAUUCAUAGAAUUGUACAACCAUCAUCACUAUCUAAUUUUAAAACAUCCUAAUCCCCUCAAAAAGAAAGCUUGUACUGGUUAGCAGUCACUUGUAUAUUCUACGUGGAAGUCCCUUAUCAGAUAAAUGAUUUGCAAAUAUUUUCCCCAUUCUGUGGGUUGCCUUUUCACUUUCUUGAUAUUAUCUUUGAAGCGCAAAAGUUUUUAAUUUUGAUAAGGUUCAAUUUGUCUCUUUUUUUCUGUUGUCACUUAUGCUUUUGGUGUCAUAGCUAAUAAACCGUCAUCUAAUCAUAGGUCAUGAUUUACUUCUACGUUUUCUUAUAAGAGUUUUAUAGUUUUAUCUCUUAUUUUUAGGUCUGUAAUCCAUUUUGAGUUAUUUUUUAUAUAUGAUGUGAGUUAGGACUCCAAAUUUAGUCUUUUGCAUGGAGAUAUCCAGUUGACCCAGCACCAUUUGUUGAAAAGACUAUUAUUUCUCCAUUUAAUUUUCUUAGUAUUAUUGUUGAAAUGAAUUGACCACAAAUAUAAUGGUUAAUUUCUGGACUCUCAGUUCUGUUCCACUGAUCUAUAUAUCUAUUCAUAUGUGAGUAUUACACUAUUUUGAUUACUGUAGCUUUGUAGUAAGUUUUGAAAUCAAGAAAUAUUACUUUUCCAUCUUUGUUCUUUUUCAGAUUUUUUUUCUAUUCUGAGUCCCUUGUACUUCUGAAUGAAUUUUAGAAUCACCUUGUUGAUUUCUUUAAAUCAACUUGAAGGAAAAUUGGCAAUUGCCUUCAAACAGGCAAUUUGGAUUUUGAUAGGGAUUGCAUUAAAUCUGUAAGAUCAAUUUGGGGAGUAUCAUCAUCUUAACAAUAUUAAGCCUUUCGAUCCAUGAACAUGGUCUGUCUUUUAUUUACAUUCUUUCAAUGAUGUUUUGUAGUUUUUGGCAUACAAGUCUUGGGUUUCCUUUGUUAAAUUUGUUCCCAAGUAUUUUAUUCUUUUUGAUGCUAUUAUAAAUGGAGUGGUAUUCUUAAUUUCAUUUUUGGAUUGUUUAUAGCUAGUGUAUAGAAAUAAAAUUGAUUGCUGCAUAUUGAUCUUGUAUCCUGAUCAAGUAUCCUGAUUACUGAACUCAUGUAUUAGUUCUAAUAAUUUUUUGUGGAUCCCUUAGGAUUUUCUAUAUACAAGAUUAUAUCAUCUGCUAAUAGAGAUAGCUUUACAUCUUCCUUUUCAAACUGGAUGCCUUUAUUUCUUUUCCUUGCCUAACUGCUCUGGCUAGAACCUCCACUACAAGGUUGACUAGAAGUAGCAAGAGCCAGAUAUUCUUGUAUUGUUUCUCAUCUUAAGCAGAAACUUUCACCAUUAAAUAUGAUUUCACUGUCAGUUUUUUAUAAGUGCCGUUCAUUAGCUUGAGGAAGUUCUCUUCUAUUCCUAGUUUGUUAAGUGUGUUUAUUAUUUUUAAAAAGUGUUAGAUUUUGUCAAAUGCUUUUUCUUUGUUUGUUUUGUUUUGUUUUGAGACAAGUUUUCAUGCUGUCGCCCCGGCUGGAGUGCAGUGGUACAAUCUUGGCUCAUUUCAACCUCUGCUUCCCAGGUUCAAGUAAUUCUCCUGUCUCAGCCUCCCAAGUAACUGGGAUUACAGACACGUGCCACCACACCCGGCUAAUUUUUGUAUUUUUAGUAGAGAUGGAGUUUCACCAUUUUGGCCAGGCUUGUCUCAAACUCAUGAAUCAAGUGAUCUGCCCGCCUUGGCCUCCCAAAGUGCUGGGAUUACAGGCAUGAGCCACCAUGCCUUCUAUUACAAAGAAAACCAAAUGAGCCAAAAUGCUGCUUGCUAAAUCCAACUGAGUAAUGAUUCCCCAUGAGAGGAUCAGUCAUUUUAACUGGGUGUGAAGAAGACUUCCCCAGUCAGAUGCACCACGAAGACGCUAGAAGGUGUGCAGAGGACAAACACCUUUCCUCCUUCCCAGCUGCCCUUGCGUUGAACCCAUCCCUAGUUUCAUUCGCCACCAUCAAAACUCUGGACUACGCAAAGAACUGGCCAUCCUAUGCAGUACACCUCCUUUCCAUUCCCUUUUAAUGGAGCAGUCUGGCUCCCCCAGGCCAGGGACAAAAGGACCAGGCCAGUGGCUGCUGGACAUCCUACCUGAAGGGAGCAUCACCCUCAUUCUCAGAAACAACCUAACACAGCAGGCAAACCAUCUAUAUAGUGCACUGUGCUCACUGGCAUGGGGACACAGCACAGGAGUCCUUCCAAUCCUGCCCCAGGUGGGGAUGCCCCUCUGGUCUACCUCAUCCCCAAGGAACUGGUGGGACCACUUUUCCCUUGAAGGCCUAGUCUGUCCACUCUGAAACCCACCACCUGAGGGUCUGGUCUCUGCUCACCAUUUCAACAACAGCCUCAUCUAGCCCCUGAUGCAGGCUAACUUGAAAUGCCCUCCUACUGAGGGACUGGCAGUGUCUCAAGUUCCCAGCCUACCCUGUCCCAGGGCAUUUAUAGUAGAGGAGGGGCAAUGCAGGGAGGAUCCUAUCUUGAAUCUCCUCCCUCCUCUCCAGUACCUUGAUUGCCCCUUAGGUAUUCCAAUGUGUCUCUUCCGCGCAUCCCACCCCAACCCCACCGUGUUCCUAAUAGGAGAGCUGCUCUUGGAUUCUAAAAUAUCAUUGUGAGGGGCUGGGUCUUCUUUGUCUGUGCUUUCCCAGAACUAGCAUGAAGACUGUCAAAGAGCAGAUGUUCAAUUCAUGUUUGGUGAAUGACAUAAUUCAGAUGUUUGUCCCUUCUAAAUGUCAUGUUGAGAUAUAAUUCCCAGUGUUGGAGGUAAGGCCUGGUGGGAGGUGUUUGGACCAUCAAGGAGGGUCCCUCAUGGCAUGGUGCUGCCCUGGCCAUAGUGAGCGACUUCCCCUAUCUCUGGUCAUUUGAAAGCAUGUGGCACCUCCCACCCCCGCUCUGCUUGGCUGUCUUUCCUCCCACUGUUGCCACGUGACAUGCCUGCACCACCUUCCCCUCCUGGCAUGAGGAAAAGCUCCCCAAGACCUCCCCAGAAGCAGUUGCUGGUGCCACGCUCAUAGCCUGGUGAACUGUGAGCAAGUCAACCUCUUUUCUUUAGCAAUUACCCAGUCUCAGGUAUGCCUUUAGAGCAACACAAGAACUGCCUAGCACAAGGAACAAAAGAGCCAGUGAGCAAGUGUUCUCCUUUAUGAUGAUUUAAUUUCUCCAACAUUCUUGAAUACACAUAGCAACUGUGAGUAUAUAGCUUUUCAUUUUAUCACAACAAAAGACUUAAAGAAAUAAGAUUUUUAAACGUCAAAGGUUGCCAAUCAAUCGACACUUUUUUCCCACCAUCUUGUGAUCCCAACUGAUGCAGUGUUCAGUUGUUUCACAGUUUAAAGCCAAUCGCUAUUCCAAUGCUAUUUCUUCUUGCACUAGAUCAUAAUCUAGUAAGUAAAAAUUUCCAAUUUGUUUUACAAAAUACAAGAACAUCACUCUUCAAUGUGAUAAACAGCAAUAAUUGUGUGAGGCACCUAAUUCAUGAACUUAGAUUCUGAAUCAAAGUCAAUCUCUUUCAAAGGAACACGCGGUAGACACAGAAGAGAAAGAGGAAUCUAUAAGUGGCUUGCAAAUAACCAGAACAAAAGAAAGACACGUCUUGGGCUCCCCACCUCACCCCCAAAUACUGAGAUGGUGGACAGGCUUUUCAAUCUCUUAGUGAGGAUUGCCUGAGACUUCACUA